AUGGGGAUGAGGCAAAGCCGGAUCCGGGCCUGGCUCCAGGCGGCCGUGACCCUGCUGGAGUCCGGGGGGGACCUCCAGCCCCCCGGGGGGUCCCUGCGCCUCCUCUGCCGAGGGGAUGGAUUCGAAAUCGGGAAAUUUGGGAUGUCCUGGGUGCGCCAGAGACCCGGGAAGGGGCUGGAAUUCAUUUCAGCCAUCAGCAGGAAGAGCGGCAAGACGUUCUAUGCGCCGUGGGUGCGGGGCCGGUUGACGAUGGGCAGCGACAACGGGCAGAGCUCGGUGACGCUGAGCAUGAACAACCUCCAGGACGAGGAUUCCGGGGUUUAUUUCUGUGCCAAAACCUUUGGAAAUAGUUGGAACCCUGCUGCUCUUGGUCACGCCGGGGCCGUUUCCCCCCAGCCCCUCCCAAUCCCGGCCGUCGCCCCCCGAGCGCUUUUGGGGCCCGGGUUGGGAUUUGGGGCCCAGAGUUGA
Molecule: non-coding RNA, 468 nt
Organism: Poecile atricapillus (Black-capped chickadee)
Lineage: Eukaryota; Metazoa; Chordata; Aves; Passeriformes; Paridae
Source: the annotation of a RefSeq genome assembly